UCUUUUUUUUUGUAAUUUUUUAUGCUGUUUUUUUGUAAAAUGUUACAGUUUUUUUAGUUUUCGGAAGAGUUCUAAAAUUUGUUUUUUGAACUGGAUUAGUACCCAGGUAAUCAAAAUUUAUUAGUGCGGGAGUAAAGUUUUGUUUAAACCGAAAAAAUAUUGACUGACUUUGGAUUUUUCUUUGGAACAUGUAAUUUUUCGGAAAACCCUCUUUAUUUGUUUAAUCCUAUGGGCUCAUGUAUGAUUGUUUAGUUUUUAUUUUUUUUUGUGAUGCUGUUUCUUUUGUGUUGAAAAAUAGAUAGAUAUUUGGCUAAUGGAUUUUGUUUUUUAUGUGUUACUAUUGUGAAUUUUUUUUUGGAUAUUUUUGUUGUUUUUUGUUGAAAUUGGAAAAGAAAGUAAUUUUUUUUUGUAUGUG
Molecule: ribosomal RNA, 415 nt
Filed under: Cercopithifilaria minuta
Lineage: Eukaryota; Metazoa; Nematoda; Chromadorea; Rhabditida; Onchocercidae
Description: partial 12S ribosomal RNA
Source: RNAcentral